Molecule: transfer RNA, 65 nt
Filed under: Athyma gutama
Lineage: Eukaryota; Metazoa; Arthropoda; Insecta; Lepidoptera; Nymphalidae
Description: tRNA-Cys
Source: RNAcentral
AGUCUUAUAUUCAAAAAAAAAUGAUAUAAAAUUGCAAAUUUUAUGGUGUAUAAAUACUAAGGCUU